AUUUUGAUAAGAUUCAAAUAAAAAGACGCUGGCUAUCGUAACAACGAUAUACAUUACGUUCGAAUAGUUAAACAUCACAGGGAAAACGAUUGAAGCUAGAACGUUAGCUUUCUUCAUAAUCGCAGAUUGCUUAUCGUUAGCUACCUUAAACUUGUGAAU
This 159-nucleotide non-coding RNA is filed under the name Mycoplasmoides gallisepticum S6. Lineage: Bacteria; Bacillati; Mycoplasmatota; Mycoplasmoidales; Mycoplasmoidaceae. The record is from RNAcentral.